AUUGAACGCUGGCGGCAUGCCUUACACAUGCAAGUCGAACGGCAGCACGGGUGCUUGCACCUGGUGGCGAGUGGCGAACGGGUGAGUAAUAUAUCGGAACGUACCUUAUUGUGGGGGAUAACGCAGCGAAAGCUGUGCUAAUACCGCAUAAUCCCUUAGGGGGAAGCGGGGGACCGUAAGGCCUCGCGCAAUUAGAGCGGCCGAUACCUGAUUAGCUAGUUGGUGAGGUAAAGGCUCACCAAGGCGACGAUCAGUAGCUGGUCUGAGAGGACGAUCAGCCACACUGGGACUGAGACACGGCCCAGACUCCUACGGGAGGCAGCAGUGGGGAAUUGUGGACAAUGGGGGCAACCCUGAUCCAGCAAUGCCGCGUGAGUGAAGAAGGCCUUCGGGUUGUAAAGCUCUUUUGUCAGGGAAGAAACAGCAGCUCUAACACAGUAUGCGAAUGACGGUACCUGAAGAAUAAGCACCGGCUAACUACGUGCCAGCAGCCGCCGUAA
This 500-nucleotide ribosomal RNA is filed under the name uncultured bacterium. RNAcentral describes it as "partial 16S ribosomal RNA". It matches the Rfam family "Bacterial small subunit ribosomal RNA", at positions 30 to 523 of the family's 1533-position model. The record is from RNAcentral.